This is a long non-coding RNA of Nicotiana tabacum (common tobacco), 582 nucleotides long. RefSeq lists it as uncharacterized. Lineage: Eukaryota; Viridiplantae; Streptophyta; Magnoliopsida; Solanales; Solanaceae. The record is from RefSeq and is a predicted model, not a curated record.
UACACCAUUUGCAAAGAAAGAAUACACUCACGCAAAAGUUUCAUAAAGCAUCAAGUACGAUUCCAGAAUGACAAUUUUUAAGCUUGGUUCCAUCUACGCUAUUCUUCUCAUGGCAGCCACUAUUAAUUUGAUGUGGUUCUCCAAGAUGCAAGUAAUGGCUGCACGGGAUAUUGAUUAUGAUCUCUCUGAAAUGGGAAGGAGAUUACUCCCGCAACUUUAUACUUGUUUUAGAUCUUGCACAUCCGAUAGUGACUGCAGUGACUGCAUACUUUGCUGCCAUUGUAAUUACAUGACAUUCAAUACGUUCCAAUGUGGUCCUAGAACUGGAGUAUAGAGAGAACACUGUCGUCCAAUCGCAACAAUGUGCUCCAAAAUCGUGUAACACAUUUAUGAUAUCCUAUAAUUUCUAUAUUUCCUUCAUCAUUUCCUCUUUCCGCUAUUAUAUGUUGUACGAAUAAUGAAGAAUGUCAAGUGAUGACAUUCAAUUCAGGAAUAAGGAUAAAUUCAAAUCUCAUGUUGUCUUGGCGAGAUUAUAUGUACGGUUAUUAUAUAUUUACAAAUUUUAUUUACAGAUUUAUUCCU